RNAcentral lists this ribosomal RNA (461 nucleotides) under uncultured bacterium. RNAcentral's name for it is "partial 16S ribosomal RNA". It matches the Rfam family "Bacterial small subunit ribosomal RNA", at positions 338 to 795 of the family's 1533-position model. The record is from RNAcentral.
CCUACGGGAGGCAGCAGUGAGGAAUAUUGGUCAAUGGGCGGGAGCCUGAACCAGCCAAGUCGCGUGAGGGAAGACGGUCCUAUGGAUUGUAAACCUCUUUAGGCGGGGAGCAAUGCCGGGCACGUGUGCCCGGAGGGAGAGUACCCGCAGAAUAAGCAUCGGCUAACUCUGUGCCAGCAGCCGCGGUAAUACAGAGGUCUCAAGCGUUGUUCGGAAUCACUGGGCGUAAAGCGUGCGUAGGCUGUUUCGUAAGUCGUGUGUGAAAGGCGUGGGCUCAACCCGCGGACGGCACAUGAUACUGCGAGACUAGAGUAAUGGAGGGGGAACCGGAAUUCUCGGUGUAGCAGUGAAAUGCGUAGAUAUUAGGAGGAACACCAGUGGCGAAGGCGGCUUACUGGACUGUAACUGACGUUGAGGCUCGAAAGCGUGGGGAGCAAACAGGAUUAGAUACCCCUGUAGUC